UUGUCGUCAGCUCGUGUCGUGAGAUGUGGUUAAGUCCCGCAACGAGCGCAACCCUCGACCUUAGUUGCCAGCAUUCAGUUGGGCACUCUAAGGUGACUGCCGGCUAAAAGUCGGAGGAAGGUGGGGAUGACGUCAAAUCAUCAUGCCCCUUAUGACCUGGGCUACACACGUGCUACAAUGGUUGGUACAACGAGUUGCGAGUCGGUGACGGCGAGCUAAUCUCUUAAAGCCAAUCUCAGUUCGGAUUGUAGGCUGCAACUCGCCUACAUGAAGUCGGAAUCGCUAGUAAUCGCGGAUCAGCACGCCGCGGUGAAUACGUUCCCGGGCCUU
RNAcentral lists this ribosomal RNA (330 nucleotides) under uncultured Streptococcus sp. RNAcentral describes it as "bacterial SSU rRNA". It matches the Rfam family "Bacterial small subunit ribosomal RNA", at positions 1049 to 1382 of the family's 1533-position model. Lineage: Bacteria; Bacillati; Bacillota; Bacilli; Lactobacillales; Streptococcaceae. The record is from RNAcentral.